Molecule: non-coding RNA, 74 nt
Organism: Phrynosoma platyrhinos (Desert horned lizard)
Lineage: Eukaryota; Metazoa; Chordata; Lepidosauria; Squamata; Phrynosomatidae
Source: the annotation of a GenBank genome assembly
GCCAGCAUGGUGUAGUAGUGGUUUGAAUGUGGGACUACAACUCUGGAGGCCAGGGUUCAAAUCCCGGCUUGGCC